UACAGAGGUCUCAAGCGUUGUUCGGAAUCACUGGGCGUAAAGGGUGCGUAGGCGGUCGGGUAAGUCUGAUGUGAAAUCUCACAGCUUAACUGUGAAACUGCAUUGGAUACUAUCCGGCUUGAGGAAUGGAGGGGAGACUGGAAUACUUGGUGUAGCAGUGAAAUGCGUAGAUAUCAAGUGGAACACCAGUGGCGAAGGCGAGUCUCUGGACAUUUCCUGACGCUGAGGCACGAAAGCCAGGGGAGCAAACGGG
Molecule: ribosomal RNA, 253 nt
Filed under: uncultured bacterium
Lineage: Bacteria
Description: partial 16S ribosomal RNA
Rfam family: Bacterial small subunit ribosomal RNA
Source: RNAcentral